Long non-coding RNA from Malus domestica (apple), 942 nucleotides. RefSeq lists it as uncharacterized. The record is from RefSeq and is a predicted model, not a curated record. Lineage: Eukaryota; Viridiplantae; Streptophyta; Magnoliopsida; Rosales; Rosaceae.
CCUUUGCAAUCAGUCUCUAUUUUAGUUUCCAACGUCGAAAUUGGAAACGGUCUCGAAGAGUUUUGUGCAUCUAUCUUUUUCAAGGAAGCCAAGUCUCCAGACUACUCCAAGGACUAGGAGGUCAUCCAUGAGCAACCUGGCAUGAGGAUUUUACUCACAUGGGCAUGAAAAUUGAAGCUCGGGUGCUACCCCCAUUUCAAGGCAACUAAGACCGCUUGACACUGUUGAGCUACCCGUGCUGCUGUUGAUGCAGGAUACGUUCCUAAGGAGCUGCAUGUAACAUUAAUGAUGGUUUUUUUUUUUUUUUUUCUUUCAUUCUUGAAGAAUAUAUUCAUUUCUAUAUUAUUUUGUAAUGACAGCAUAUGAUGAAUCACAUCCUUGAACCUUUUAUAAUUAGUCUUACAUUUAGAUUUUCUUUUAUUUAUUCUCCUGCGAUUGAAAUAUGAUUUGCUUUUCUGGUUUAUAAAGGGAUUUAUGAUGCAAUGUCAAAAAAAAUUCUUCAGUAUUUAGUUUAUUGGCAACGUAAUGGAAUGUGGGUUUAUAUUUCUACGAGUUUGAUAGUUAUUACAUCUUAUUAGGUAUGUUUCUUCUUAGAAGCGCUGCAAUAUUUGUAAAAGAAAAGCAGAAGAAUUAGGGGCAUAUUAUGUGGAGGGUGAAUUGCUUGCCUGAGGGAUGCAAUGAAAGAUGAUGUGAGGACUUGCGAUGAUGGAGUUGUAUAACUAUUGUGCUGCAUGUAUAGGGAUGAGCAACCAAGGAUAUGAGAUCACAUACUUUCGAUCAAUUUUUGAAAAGUUGAUUGGUUAACCAAUCUAUUGUAUUUUGGAUAAUAAGCAGCUCAUAAUGUAGAUAGAAAAAUAUGGAGAUAUUUGUACCUAGCUACUUUAUAUUAUUUUGGUUGUAGCAUACCAAGAGCCCUGACCCUUUUGUUCAAAUGGUAUGUGU